GGGGCUUCAUUUGCGCCUGGGCGCUCGCUUUAAUAACUAUGAAUAGCGAUCCGGAAUAUCGGUUCCGAUAUUACAGGCGAUAUUGACAGGUAUUUUGGAUGACUCGGAGGAAGAUUUCAUGGCUUACGAUUAGAUCAUGUUUGAAAAAUUAAGUAUUAGCGCAAUGGCACUUUAGAGUUUCGACUUCUGAUAUUACUAUUAAUAUUAUAUAUCUUUUACAUUUUAUAUAUGUGUAUAUAUAAAUUCUACAUGACAUGACAUUAAAAUAUCCGAUAUCCCACCACGAUAACCUAAAUCUCAAAUGCCGGCCCUUGACCGAUAUUUCAUUUUGGACCACAUUAACUGCAUAGCUUGUAGUAAAUAUUGUCAAUGUCACUACACUAUAACAAUCAGGUUAAGUUGCAGCUUCUAACUUGAGUUAGUUAAAAAUAAAGGUAACAAAACAAUUCAUGCUCAAAACAAACACUACAAAAAACAUCACAAGUCACAACGUUUAAAAAACUAGAACUUAAACUUAACAUACAACUUGAUACAAACUACAAAAAAAAAAAAAAAAAAAAAAAAAAAAAAAAAAAAAAGAUAAGUCAGCCCCAAGUACCUUGCAGGUGUUGACGAAUAAACACAACAAUCAACAACAAAGAAAACGGAAGAAUCUGCUCAAUCCACCUCGAAACCUGCUGCAAAUCAUACCUCUGCUGAUUCUGAUUCUGAUUCUGAUUCGACGAAUCACUCGCAUUAUUAUUAUUAUUAUUACCACUACUCCCAUCACCACCACCACCACUCCUCCCAUCCAAAUCACUAUUAUCCCCAUCAUCUCCCCCUUCUUCUUCCUCUCCAUCACCAAUUAUCCGAAUCGAAACCUCACCAUCAUUAUUCUCACUAUUCCUACCAACACUACCACUACCACUACCAGCACCACCUAAAUCAUUCAAACUACUACUACUUCUACGUGAAAUCAACCUCUCAGAUUCAUAAUACUCGUUACUAUUACUUAACCUAGGCCGUAAAAAACCAGAGUAUUCAAACAAAGUAGUUACCGGAGCUUGUAAAAACCGUAGUAUCUGAAACGACGUCGUUUGAGAUGAAUUCGACGUCGUAUUCGCAACGGAAGUAUCGGAAUUUGUGGUGGCAGCACCAACGCCUACUGGCUCCAUCAAACUGAAACCCUAAUGUUCGAAUUGUGGAAAUUGAUCGGGUAACGGAGGGUGUUUGGGUGAAUUAGGGCUUGAUUGUGGCGAUGAAAGUCAAUGGAUUGAGGUGUGGAAGAAAAGGAUAG
RNAcentral lists this long non-coding RNA (1276 nucleotides) under Helianthus annuus (common sunflower). Its description in RNAcentral is "hypothetical non coding rna". Lineage: Eukaryota; Viridiplantae; Streptophyta; Magnoliopsida; Asterales; Asteraceae. The record is from RNAcentral.